GGUUUCUUUUUUUUUUUUGCGCAUGCGUUCUGAGACAAAAACAACGGGAAGCCUCAAGGGCCAAACUAGAAGGAAAACGUUGGCUUAUAAAACAAGAAACUGAAGCCAGAAAAUCGCCUGAAGUUUCGAGCACAUUUAUGUUAUCCAAAUUUAAGUGUUUGUAUGUCUCACUGUAUUCUUGUGAGAAUAUGAACUUGUGAGGACAGGAACACACUGGGAGAACAUCUCAGAUGGCAAGCCAGAGAAUGGAGUUAUGCAGCUGCACAGGACUUCUGAGACAAGACUGCAAGUCUCCCCACCUAUAAGAUAAUAUAUUUCUGUUAUUUGAAAGCACCCAGUUUGUGGUACUCUGCCUAGGAAACUAAAACUUAUAAUUAUUAUAAAUAUUAUCUUGACAUCAAAUCAUAAUUAUCAGAUUCAGUGUAUUUCACACCACUAAGCCAACAUACUUAUCUUCUAUUUAAAAGAUUCUCUGAAAUACAGCUGCAUGAGUGGCAGCUCACUGUUUUGUAUAUAUGUGUGUGCACGCACACACACAUUGGAAAUGAGAAGGUUACUGUCCACCCUGUCCCCAGUGGCUAUAGCUGAGGAGGGAAAUUAGAAGCUGAGGUACCUAGAGGGACUUUUAACUUAUUGGCUUUUAAAAAAUAUUAUUUUUUUAUCAUUAAAAAGAAAAAAGAGUUUGUCUAUCCCUCUCAUGCUCCCUUUCCCUAUCCCACUCUGCAUCAGAUUCCUUAUAUCAAAGAAAACUUUCAGCAUUUGGAUUUCUGGGAUUGGCUAACUUCACUUAGCAUUAUCUUCUCUAACUCUAUAGACAAACUCUAGAUAGGGCAGAGUUGUUGGAGGGGAAGGGAGGGGCAUGGGGUUAUAAAUGAUGUAGAAUGUGAUGAUCAUUAUUAUCCAAAGUACAUGUAUAAAGACACGAAUUGGUGUGACUAUACUUUGUGUACAAAUAGAAAUAUGAAAAAUUGUGCUCUAUGUGUGUAAUAAGAAUUGUAAUGCAUUCUGCUGUCAUAUAUAAAUAAAGAAAAAAGAAUAAAAAAGUGUUAUUCUAGAUUGGAAAGCCAGUAGAAAAGUAACAAAUUCUUGGAUUGUGCUCCUAUUUCACUUAAAAUAUUCAUUUUAAGGUAA
Molecule: long non-coding RNA, 1131 nt
Organism: Marmota monax (woodchuck)
Lineage: Eukaryota; Metazoa; Chordata; Mammalia; Rodentia; Sciuridae
Exons: 2
Source: RefSeq, a predicted model, not a curated record